This 426-nucleotide ribosomal RNA is filed under the name uncultured bacterium. RNAcentral's name for it is "bacterial SSU rRNA". It matches the Rfam family "Bacterial small subunit ribosomal RNA", at positions 354 to 796 of the family's 1533-position model. The record is from RNAcentral.
GUGAGGAAUUUUCCGCAAUGGGCGAAAGCCUGACGGAGCAAUGCCGCGUGAAGGAUGAAGGCCUAUGGGUUGUAAACUUCUUUUCUCAGAAAAGAAUUAUGACGGUAUCUGAGGAAUAAGCAUCGGCUAACUCUGUGCCAGCAGCCGCGGUAAGACAGAGGAUGCAAGCGUUAUCCGGAAUGAUUGGGCGUAAAGCGUCUGUAGGUUGUUUAAAAAGUAUUCUGUCAAAGAUUAGGGCUUAACCCUAGAUAGGCAGAAUAAACUUUUAAGCUAGAGUUUGGUAGAGGCAGAGGGAAUUCCCGGUGGAGCGGUGAAAUGCGUAGAUAUCGGGAGGAACACCAGAGGCGAAGGCACUCUGCUGGGCCAAUACUAACACUGAGAGACGAAAGCGAGGGGAGCAAAUGGGAUUAGAAACCCCAGUAGUCC